GACGAGGGGUCCUAGCGUUGUUCGGAAUCAUUGGGCGUAAAGCGUGUGUAGGCUGCCAUUCAAGUCAGUUGUGAAAUCCCCGGGCUUAACCCGGGAAGUGCUUCUGAUACUGUUUGGCUUGAGUACUGGAGAGGAUAGUAGAAUUCCUGGUGUAGUGGUGAAAUACGUAGAUAUCAGGAGGAAUACCGGUGGCGAAGGCGGCUAUCUGGCCAUGUACUGACGCUGAGACACGAAAGCGUGGGUAGCAAACAGG
Molecule: ribosomal RNA, 253 nt
Filed under: uncultured bacterium
Lineage: Bacteria
Description: partial 16S ribosomal RNA
Rfam family: Bacterial small subunit ribosomal RNA
Source: RNAcentral